RNAcentral lists this ribosomal RNA (468 nucleotides) under uncultured bacterium. Its description in RNAcentral is "partial 16S ribosomal RNA". It matches the Rfam family "Bacterial small subunit ribosomal RNA", at positions 28 to 507 of the family's 1533-position model. The record is from RNAcentral.
GACGAACGCUGGCGGCGUGCUUAACACAUGCAAGUCGAACGGAAAGUCCCUGCUUUUGUGGGGUGCUUGAGUGGCGACGGGGUGAGCAACACGUGAGUAACCUGCCCUUGACUUUGGGAUAACUUCAGGAAACUGGGGCUAAUACCGCAUAGGAUCUCCCGCUGCAUGGUGGGCGUUGGAUAGUUUCGGGGGUUGGGGGUGGACUCGCGGCUUAUCAGCUUGUUGGUGGGGUAGUGGCUUACCAGGGCCUUGACCGGUAGCCGACCUGAGAGGGUCACCGGCCCAGUUGCGCUUGAACUACGACACGGACUCCGACGCGAGGCAACAGAGGAGAGUGUAAUAUAGUGCGCGGGGGGGAGGCAGGGCACCGCAGCGUGGCGGAAGAGAGCAAUCGGGUAGUAAAGUGAGGCUGCCUUAGACGAAACGUUAAUGACGGUAAUGGGAGAAUAAGCACCGGCUAACUACGUG